UAGGGAAUCUUCGGCAAUGGACGAAAGUCUGACCGAGCAACGCCGCGUGAGUGAAGAAGGUCUUCGGAUCGUAAAACUCUGUUGUUAGAGAAGAACAAGGGUGAGAGUAACUGUUCACCCCUUGACGGUAUCUAACCAGAAAGCCACGGCUAACUACGUGCCAG
RNAcentral lists this ribosomal RNA (164 nucleotides) under uncultured bacterium. RNAcentral describes it as "partial 16S rRNA". It matches the Rfam family "Bacterial small subunit ribosomal RNA", at positions 355 to 511 of the family's 1533-position model. The record is from RNAcentral.